This is a small nuclear RNA of Cercocebus atys (sooty mangabey), 104 nucleotides long. Lineage: Eukaryota; Metazoa; Chordata; Mammalia; Primates; Cercopithecidae. The record is from Ensembl.
UUGCUUCCACAGCACAUAUACUAAAAAUUAGAACAAUACAGAGAAACUUAGCAUGGCCUCUGCACCAGGAUGGCAUGCAAAUUCCUGGAUCAUUCCAUUAAAAA